Molecule: ribosomal RNA, 443 nt
Filed under: Globigerina bulloides
Lineage: Eukaryota; Foraminifera; Rotaliida; Globigerinidae
Description: bacterial SSU rRNA
Rfam family: Eukaryotic small subunit ribosomal RNA
Source: RNAcentral
ACCACAAGAGCGUGGAGUAUGUGGCUUAAUUUGACUCAACGCGGAAAAGCUUAUCUGGUCCGGACACAGUGAGGAUUGACAGACAGUUAGACAGAAGUGAGGUUUUGGUAACAAUUGAGAGAGUUGAAGUUCUUUCAUGAUCUUGUGAGAGGUGGUGCAUGGCCGUUCUUAGUUCGUGUAGUGAUAUGUCUGCCUAAUCGCGUCACGAUAACCUAUUGGUCGACAACCCAAUUAUCACAACUGCAGCAUAACUCCCCUUGGGUGGGCGAGGCUCUGUGUAGGAUAGACCUCUGAACAGUACGCAACGAACGCGAUCGUAAUCCCUUGUUGAGUGGCCAUCCUGUAAGCUGCUGGAUUAGGAACCCAGUGGUAUUAUCUCAGCCACAGAUUUUCUGGUUGUAGUGGGCCAGUUUUGAAACUCGGGGAACAUCUGUGACUUUCUU